GGGCAGUGAUGAGGAUUUUGAGAUGUCAUGCACCACUCUGAUGUUUUCUGUGCUGAGAAAUUCCUCUUACCCAUAUAUUUCUGAGCCC
RNAcentral lists this small nucleolar RNA (88 nucleotides) under Salix viminalis (osier). Its description in RNAcentral is "Small nucleolar RNA Z221/R21b". It matches the Rfam family "Small nucleolar RNA Z221/R21b". Rfam says of the family: Z221 is a member of the C/D class of snoRNA which contain the C (UGAUGA) and D (CUGA) box motifs. Lineage: Eukaryota; Viridiplantae; Streptophyta; Magnoliopsida; Malpighiales; Salicaceae. The record is from Rfam by way of RNAcentral.